Cannabis sativa is the source of this 2464-nucleotide RNA transcript. RefSeq lists it as uncharacterized. Lineage: Eukaryota; Viridiplantae; Streptophyta; Magnoliopsida; Rosales; Cannabaceae. The transcript is spliced from 13 exons. The record is from RefSeq and is a predicted model, not a curated record.
AACACACUAGUUGAAGUAAAGCCGAGGGUAAGAAUAACAACUGCGGAACAAGACUCGGUAGUGCUUGAGGGAGGAAGGAUCAGAGUUAAGCAGUAAAAGCACUGACAGUGAGAAAAUGAAGAACAUCCCCGUGGUUCUGAUGGGCUGUGGAGGAGUUGGCCGCCAACUCCUCCAACACAUUGUAACAUGCCGAUCCCUUCACGCCAGCCAGGGAAUCCGGUUGAGAGUUGUAGGAGUUUGUGAUAGUAAAUCUUUAGUUGUUGCUCCUGAUGUUUUCAGCAUGGAGUUAAGUGAUAAUCUUUUGUUGGAGGUUUGCCGGGUCAAGUUGGAUUCUUCUUCUUCUCUGUUGACUCUUAAUGGUUCUGGUGAAUGCCAGGUAUAUUCGAAUCCCGAAUUGACCAAGAAAAUUAUUGACAUUGCAGCUCUCUUGGGUAAAUCAACAGGUUUGGCUCUUGUUGAUUGCUCUGCCAGUUCAGAGACUAUUGGAGUGCUAAAUCGAGUGGUAGAUAUGGGAUGUUGUGCUGUUUUAGCAAAUAAGAAGCCUCUUACUUGUAAAAUGGAGGAUUACGACAAGCUUGUUUCACAUCCUCGGUUCAUUCGGCACGAGUCAACUGUUGGUGCUGGCCUUCCUGUCAUAGCGACCAUAAAUCGCUUACUUUCAUCUGGCGAUCCAGUGCACCGUAUUAUUGGGAGUUUGAGUGGCACACUGGGAUAUGUCAUGUCCGAAGUUGAAGAUGGAAAGCCCUUUAGCCAAGUUGUUAAAUCUGCUAAAAGCCUGGGCUACACUGAACCAGAUCCGCGCGACGACCUUAGCGGGAUGGAUGUGGCAAGAAAGGCUUUAAUUCUUGCUAGACUUCUUGGCCAACAUCUGAACUUGGAUAGUAUAAAGAUUGAGAGCUUGUACCCAGAGGAAAUGGGGCCUGGUGUGAUGUCCGUUGAAGAAUUUCUGGGCGGUGGGGUUUCAUUGCUAGAUAAAGAUUUUCAAGAAAGAGUACACAAGGCUUCAUCGAAAGGAAAUGUGCUGCGUUAUGUCUGUGUGAUUGAGGGCUCAAGAUGUGAAGUUGGCAUUCAAGAGCUUCCAAAGGAUUCUGCUUUGGGAAGACUUAAAGGAAGUGACAAUGUGUUGGAGGUAUACAGCCGCUGCUAUCCCGAACAACCAUUGGUUAUUCAAGGCGCUGGAGCUGGGAAUGACACUACUGCAACUGGUGUCCUUGCUGAUAUCCUUGAUCUUCAGGAUUUAUUUCCAUAAAAGGGUUCUCUCUCAUUUUCCCGAAAACCAGGUGCCAUUUUUGACAGGCGCAUUUUCCCUCCAGAAUGUGCCAAGUUUUCAAUGAGUGGUGCCAGUACAAUACAUUCUCAUUGCUGUUAAGGAGGAGAACGAAAAAGGAAGACGCUUUCAAACCUCUGCUAGUUGGGUAUUGUCUAGUUUGGCCAAAUAUUCUUUCACAUCAUGACAAAGAAGAUUUUUUUCUCCAAUUCACUUACUCAUGUACUUUUGGUUACUUAUUCAUGUACUUUAAAGUCCAACAAAAUUGGAAUGCUACCAUUUGUACUGCAAAAAUAUCUUAGUUAGUGUACUGCAAAAUUGGAAUACAACAUAUAUAUUAGGCUAAUUAGGAUUUUUGCUCCCUGAAUUUUGACAUGUACCAAAUCAUGCCCUCUGAACUUUUAAGGUCAUUAAAAAUGCUCCUUGAACUAUUUAGAUUGUUGGAUUUAAAGACUUUUGUCUAAUUUUAUUCAAUUUUACUAUUUCAGUGGUUAUUUAUAUACUAAAUUAUGCUUCCCAGACUUUGAUAUCUACCAAAUCAUGCCCCUCGAACUUUGAUAUGUACUAAAUCAUGACCCCUGUACUUUCAUCCAUGUUAGACAUUUUUACUAAAAUUAGAAAAAAGUCCUUAAAUCCAAUCAUCUCAAUAGUUCAAGGACAUUUUUAACGACCUUAAAAGUUCAAGGGGCAUGAUUUGGUACAUGUCAAAGUUCAAGGGAUAAAAAUCUUAAUUAGCCUAUAUAUUAUAUACAUGUGAAAAAAAUGUAAUUUGAGAGUAUAUUAAUUAUUAUAGGAUUAAAAUUAGUUCUAAGUGGAAAUAUUAUGAUUUAACCAAGUUAAAUCUACACUGAUAAUCAUGGUCACACGGUGUAAAUUUAGAGUCACAUAUCUACCUUGAAUGUCGUAUUAAGGUUCCACAGUCUCACUGUAAAUAAAUUGUUUUGAAAGAUUUUAGUUUCCUAAUAAAUCUUUUCAUAAAGUCCAACUUAACAAAACACUCCAUAAAUCGGCCACAAAAACCAAAAGCCAUUAUUACCAAAAGAGAAAUCUCAGUUUUAACAAAUCCAAUCCAAAUGUUCUUACCCAUUUUGGCCAAAAUAGAAAUAACAAUCAGAACAUUGCCACUUGGGUUUGGUCAAAAUAGCAACCAGUAGGGCCUCCAUCUGGUAAAAGGGCCAACAUGACUGGACCUUUGCU